UGAGCAAUCUGCCCUUCACUUCGGGAUAACUCCGGGAAACCGGUGCUAAUACCGAAUACGACCACUUCAGGCAUCUGAUGGUGGUGGAAAGUUCCGGCGGUGAAGGAUGAGCUCGCGGCCUAUCAGCUUGUUGGUGGGGUAAUGGCCCACAAGGCAACGACGGGUAGCCGGCCUGAGAGGGUGACCGGCCACACUGGGACUGAGACACGGCCCAGACUCCGUACGGGA
RNAcentral lists this ribosomal RNA (228 nucleotides) under uncultured bacterium. RNAcentral describes it as "partial 16S ribosomal RNA". It matches the Rfam family "Bacterial small subunit ribosomal RNA", at positions 118 to 346 of the family's 1533-position model. The record is from RNAcentral.